Molecule: unclassified non-coding RNA, 329 nt
Filed under: soil metagenome
Description: partial contains 5.8S ribosomal RNA, internal transcribed spacer 2, and large subunit ribosomal RNA
Rfam family: 5.8S ribosomal RNA (bases 1-120)
Source: RNAcentral
GAUGAAGAACGCAGCGAAAUGCGAUAAGUAAUGUGAAUUGCAGAAUUCAGUGAAUCAUCGAAUCUUUGAACGCACAUUGCGCCCUCUGGUAUUCCGGGGGGCAUGCCUGUUCGAGCGUCAUUAUAACCACUCAAGCUCUCGCUUGGUAUUGGGGUUCGCGGUUCCGCGGCCCCUAAAAUCAGUGGCGGUGCCUGUCGGCUCUACGCGUAGUAAUACUCCUCGCGAUUGAGUCCGGUAGGUCUACUUGCCAGCAACACCCAAUUUUUACAGGUUGACCUCGGAUCAGGUAGGGAUACCCGCUGAACUUAAGCAUAUCAAUAAGCGGAGGA